Molecule: small nuclear RNA, 164 nt
Organism: Octodon degus (degu)
Lineage: Eukaryota; Metazoa; Chordata; Mammalia; Rodentia; Octodontidae
Gene: U1
Rfam family: U1 spliceosomal RNA
About the family: U1 is a small nuclear RNA (snRNA) component of the spliceosome (involved in pre-mRNA splicing). Its 5' end forms complementary base pairs with the 5' splice junction, thus defining the 5' donor site of an intron. There are significant differences in sequence and secondary structure between metazoan and yeast U1 snRNAs, the latter being much longer (568 nucleotides as compared to 164 nucleotides in human).
Source: Ensembl
ACAUUUACCUGGCAGAAAAGAUGCCAUAAUCACACUUGUGGCUUCCCCAAGGCUGUGCUCACCCAUUGAACUCAGGAUGAGCUUAUCACUGAGAUUUUUCCAAAUGUGCAGAAAUCAAGUACCUAAUUUGUGACAGAAAGGGGUGGCAUUCCUACUCUCUCUCU